Molecule: ribosomal RNA, 468 nt
Filed under: uncultured bacterium
Lineage: Bacteria
Description: partial 16S ribosomal RNA
Rfam family: Bacterial small subunit ribosomal RNA
Source: RNAcentral
GACGAACGCUGGCGGCGUGCUUAACACAUGCAAGUCGAACGGAAAGGCCCUGCUUUUGUGGGGUGCUCGAGUGGCGAACGGGUGAGUAACACGUGAGUAACCUGCCCUUUACUUUGGGAUAACUUCAGGAAACUGGGGCUAAUACCGGAUAGGAGCUCCUGCUGCAUGGUGGGGGUUGGAAAGUUUCGGCGGUUGGGGAUGGACUCGCGGCUUAUCAGCUUGUUGGUGGGGUAGUGGCUUACCAAGGCUUUGACGGGUAGCCGGCCUGAGAGGGCGACCGGCCACAUUGGGACUGAGAUACGGCCCAGACUCCUACGGGAGGCAGCAGUGGGGAAUAUUGCACAAUGGGCGGAAGCCUGAUGCAGCAACGCCGCGUGCGGGAUGACGGCCUUCGGGUUGUAAACCGCUUUCGCCUGUGACGAAGCGUGAGUGACGGUAAUGGGUAAAGAAGCACCGGCUAACUACGUG